UUCCGGUUGAUCCUGCCGGACCUGACUGCUAUCGGAUUGGUACUAAGCCAUGCGAGUCGUUGUAGCAAUACAAGGCGGACGGCUCAGUAACACGUAGUCAACCUAACCUAUGGACGUGGAUAACCUCGGGAAACUGAGAAUAAACCGCGAUAGAUCAUAAUGCCUGGAAUGGCUUAUGGUUCAAACAAUUUAUUGCCGUAGGAUGGGACUGCGGCCUAUCAGCUUGUUGGUGAGGUAAUGGCCCACCAAGGCUAUAACAGGUACGGGCUCUGAGAGGAGAAGCCCGGAGAUGGGUACUGAGACACGGACCCAGGCCCUAUGGGGCGCAGCAGGCGAGAAACCUUAGCAAUGUGCGAAAGCACGACUAGGUUAAUCCGAGUGGUUCCUGCUAAAGGAACCUUUUGUCAGUCGUAAAACCACAGAUGAAUAAGGGGUGGGCAAGUCUGGUGUCAGCCGCCGCGGUAAUACCAGCACCUCGAGUGGUCAGGAGGUUUAUUGGGCCUAAAGCAUCCGUAGCCGGCUUUGCAAGUCUCCGGUUAAAUCCAGCUGCUCAACAGAUGGGCUGCCGGAGAUACUACAUAGCUAGGGAGCGGGAGAGGCAGACGGUAUUCGGUGGGUAGGGGUAAAAUCCACUGAUCCAUCGAGGACCACCAGUGGCGAAGGCGGUCUGCCAGAACGCGUUCGACGGUGAGGGAUGAAAGCUGGGGGAGCAAACCGGAUUAGAUACCCGGGUAGUCCCAGCUGUAAACGAUGCAAACUCGGUGAUGCAUUGGCUUAUGGCCAUGCAGUGCCGCAGGAGCCGUUAAGUUUGCCGCCUGGGAGUACGGACCGCA
Molecule: ribosomal RNA, 833 nt
Filed under: uncultured archaeon
Lineage: Archaea
Description: bacterial SSU rRNA
Rfam family: Archaeal small subunit ribosomal RNA
Source: RNAcentral